Molecule: ribosomal RNA, 576 nt
Filed under: uncultured marine microorganism
Description: bacterial SSU rRNA
Rfam family: Bacterial small subunit ribosomal RNA
Source: RNAcentral
AUGAACGCUGGCGGCGUGCUUAACACAUGCAAGUCGAACGAACCUUCGGGUUAGUGGCGGACGGGUGAGUAACGCGUGAGAAUCUGCCCUCAGGAGGGGGAUAACGGUUGGAAACGACCGCUAAUACCCCAUAUGCCUAUUGGUGAAAUGAAUUUCGCCUGAGGAUGAGCUCGCGUCUGAUCAGCUAGUUGGUGAGGUAAUGGCUCACCAAGGCGUCGAUCAGUAGCUGGUCUGAGAGGAUGAUCAGCCACACUGGGACUGAGACACGGCCCAGACUCCUACGGGAGGCAGCAGUGGGGAAUUUUCCGCAAUGGGCGAAAGCCUGACGGAGCAACGCCGCGUGAGGGACGAAGGCCUCUGGGCUGUAAACCUCUUUUCUCAAGGAAGAAGAUAUGACGGUACUUGAGGAAUAAGCCACGGCUAAUUCCGUGCCAGCAGCCGCGGUAAUACGGGAGUGGCAAGCGUUAUCCGGAAUUAUUGGGCGUAAAGCGUCCGCAGGCGGCUUUUCAAGUCUGCUGUUAAAACGUGGAGCUUAACUCCAUCAUGGCAGUGGAAACUGAAAGGCUUGAGUAUGGU